GUGGUACAGCCGUCCCCUGUAAGCACAGGGGGCCACUGUGUUGGGUGAGCCAGGCCACGUCCCAGGUGCUGUCGGGGGGACGGAGGCAAGCCCCAUGAUGACACGCGGAGGGAACCGCAGGCCGGGCGGGGCCUCUCCUCACUUCCAAGCUUAAAUGUUGCAGGAGGAGCUAAGAUGCUCCUUGGUCCCGAGGGUUUCAAGUCCCAGGAGGAGCUGCUGUCUGUCUCCCCGCAGCGCACGGACUCGCCUCCUGGGUGUCUGUCAGCAGAGAAGGGCAGCGUUGCCCACCCAGCCGCACGGGUCUGUGGUGAGCAAGAGGGAGAAGAUAAAAUGCUGCUUCUUCUCAACCAAGCUUCGAAUCCCAACUCUGAGACGGAAUUGCUGGGUGACUGUGGGCAAAGCGCCUCACCUCUCUGAGCCUCAGACUCUUUCAUCUGUAGAAUGGGGCUGAUCGUCUCUGCCUCUCAGCAUCACUGCACGUAGAAGGCGUGGAAGGAGCUCGAAGAAGGAGCGCCCUCCCCUUCCGCUCGCGGCUCUGUUUGGGCGGUGGCCGCGGUGGCCACCUGGCGGCUCUGUAUCCGCGGAGGGCGAGCAGACCCCUCAUCUCUCCCCUCCCUUAGCCUGCAUCUCUCCUGCAUCUCCAUCAACGGCACCUGCCGGUGGUCCAGCCAAGCCCCUGGGGGUCGUCAGCGUCCUCCUCCGGCCGCCACGGCCCGGCCACGCCUGCUGCCCCUCCCGCCGGCAGGAGGGUCUCUUCCCGUCUUUGCUGCUGGUUUUGGC
RNAcentral lists this long non-coding RNA (780 nucleotides) under Equus caballus (horse). RNAcentral's name for it is "lncRNA (ENSECAG00000048055.1)". Lineage: Eukaryota; Metazoa; Chordata; Mammalia; Perissodactyla; Equidae. The record is from RNAcentral.